AGAGGAAAAGCAAAUUAUUCAAUCAAUAAAUAGAAAAUAGAUAGAAAGCACUGCAUCUUUCCAGGCUGGUUCACGCUCUCAUAACGCAAACAGGGUGGCAACUGAAGCUCCAAAGAUGAAGUGGUUGAGAGUGAAGAAAGCAGAGGGGGCGGCUGCGCUUGGAGAUGGAGGCGGUUGAGUGCCGGUGGGUGGUGGGUUUGCGGUUGGGGUUGGGGUUGGGUUUUGGGUGGAAUUGGCAGCAAGAACAUUGACUUGAAGCUUCAUGCCGGAGGCACAGUGGCCGAUAGUGGAACAAAUGAAGUACCUUGGCCCUACCGCU
Molecule: long non-coding RNA, 319 nt
Filed under: Cucumis sativus (cucumber)
Lineage: Eukaryota; Viridiplantae; Streptophyta; Magnoliopsida; Cucurbitales; Cucurbitaceae
Description: long non-coding RNA (CSAT_LNC000897)
Source: RNAcentral